Molecule: ribosomal RNA, 125 nt
Filed under: Burkholderiales bacterium
Lineage: Bacteria; Pseudomonadati; Pseudomonadota; Betaproteobacteria; Burkholderiales
Also listed under: 1 other name
Description: partial 16S ribosomal RNA
Rfam family: Bacterial small subunit ribosomal RNA
Source: RNAcentral
AGCGGGUUCUGCCAGAAGUAGUUAGCCUAACCGCAAGGAGGGCGAUUACCACGGCAGGGUUCGUGACUGGGGUGAAGUCGUAACAAGGUAGCCGUAUCGGAAGGUGCGGCUGGAUCACCUCCUUU